Molecule: long non-coding RNA, 871 nt
Filed under: Nicotiana benthamiana
Lineage: Eukaryota; Viridiplantae; Streptophyta; Magnoliopsida; Solanales; Solanaceae
Description: long non-coding RNA (NBEN_LNC010226)
Source: RNAcentral
AAAUAGAACCCCGGCAUCCUUCCCGCGAAGAACUUCCCACCUUGCUCUUGGGAAAACUCGAACUCACAACCUCUCGAUUGGAAGUGGAGGUUGCUUACCAUCAGAGCAACCCCUCUUGUCUGUGAUGAAAAUUGCUUAAAAACUUCAAAAAUCAUGUAGCUCUGCCAUCAUGGUCUGAUGUUACCUUGUUAAACCUUUAUGGUGAUUCAGUGACCUGAUGGAUUGAGCAGUUUCAUCAAUGAUCUGUAAUCAUUAAAAUGUUGAAUGAUGCAAAUAAAUACAAGGAAAAAAAUACACCCAACACUGGAAUAUUAACCAGAUAACAGCCCAAAGUCAUAAGAUCUUGAUUUAUUUGAAAAAAAGAUUAACAAUAUUACAUCAUAAUAGUCAACAUAAUAUCCUAGGCACAUUAGAUCUACCUAAGAAGAAAGAAAAAAAAUAUGAACUCCAAGAUUUUCCUGAAAGAUUGGACAAAAUAACUUACAACAAGAAAUAGGACUCUAUUAAUCAGGACUAGUAUACUAACUUUUGUAGCGACUAAAGGGAUUUCCAUAUCAAUAACCACAAAACUCUCGGAGUUGUUUGGUAUGCGGAAUAAGGUAGAAUAAGACGAGUGAUUAAAUUUAGAUGGUGUUUGAUUGACAAGAUAAAUUUAUGUCGUCAACCAAAAGUAAAAUAAAUUUACCUAAUAUCUCACUUUAUCCGAUCAAAACUUAAAAUUAUAUUAUCCCACCUCUUAAGUGGGAUUAGUCAAAGGAUAUAAGCCCGGAAUGAUUUAGUCCAUGUACAAAUUAAAACAACCUAUUACUUCUUGUAAUAAGAGUACUAUAUACUUAUAUGCUACUGACCUGGAACUGCACAUUGGUCUGCU